This 219-nucleotide ribosomal RNA is filed under the name uncultured bacterium. RNAcentral's name for it is "partial 16S ribosomal RNA". It matches the Rfam family "Bacterial small subunit ribosomal RNA", at positions 1282 to 1500 of the family's 1533-position model. The record is from RNAcentral.
UAAGUCUCAGUUCGGAUCGCAGGCUGCAACCCGCCUGCGUGAAGCCGGAAUUGCUAGUAAUCGCGGAUCAGCAUGCCGCGGUGAAUACGUUCCCGGGCCUUGUACACACCGCCCGUCACACCAUGAGAGCCGGGGGGACCCGAAGUCCGUAGCCUAACCGAAAGGGGGGCGCGGCCGAAGGUAAAACUGGUGAUUGGGGUGAAGUCGUAACAAGGUACC